AGAAUCAACGCUGGCGGCGUGCCUAACACAUGCAAGUCGAACGAGAAAGGGGAGCAAUCCCUGAGUAAAGUGGCGCACGGGUGAGUAACACGUGACUAACCUACCCUGGAGUGGGGGAUAACUGAGGGAAACCUUAGCUAAUACCGCAUAACACCUACGGGUCAAAGGAGCAAUUCGCUUUGGGAGGGGUCGCGGCCGAUUAGUUAGUUGGCGGGGUAAUGGCCCACCAAGACAGUGAUCGGUAUCCGG
This 249-nucleotide ribosomal RNA is filed under the name uncultured bacterium. RNAcentral describes it as "partial small subunit ribosomal RNA". It matches the Rfam family "Bacterial small subunit ribosomal RNA", at positions 26 to 290 of the family's 1533-position model. The record is from RNAcentral.